CCUACGGGGGGCAGCAGUGGGGAAUAUUGGACAAUGGGCGAAAGCCUGAUCCAGCCAUGCCGCGUGUGUGAAGAAGGCCUUCGGGUUGUAAAGCACUUUCAGUGGGGAAGAAAGCCUUGGGGCUAAUACCCUCGAGGAAGGACAUCACCCACAGAAGAAGCACCGGCUAACUCCGUGCCAGCAGCCGCGGUAAUACGGAGGGUGCGAGCGUUAAUCGGAACUACUGGGCGUAAAGCGCGCGUAGGUGGUCUGAUAAGCCGGUUGUGAAAGCCCCGGGCUCAACCUGGGAACGGCAUCCGGAACUGUCAGGCUAGAGUGCAGGAGAGGAAGGUAGAAUUCCCGGUGUAGCGGUGAAAUGCGUAGAGAUCGGGAGGAAUACCAGUGGCGAAGGCGGCCUUCUGGACUGACACUGACGCUGAGGUGCGAAAGCGUGGGUAGCAAACAGGAUUACAUACCCCUGUAGUC
Molecule: ribosomal RNA, 465 nt
Filed under: Vreelandella stevensii
Lineage: Bacteria; Pseudomonadati; Pseudomonadota; Gammaproteobacteria; Oceanospirillales; Halomonadaceae
Description: partial 16S ribosomal RNA
Rfam family: Bacterial small subunit ribosomal RNA
Source: RNAcentral